Molecule: ribosomal RNA, 2074 nt
Filed under: Paraburkholderia fungorum
Lineage: Bacteria; Pseudomonadati; Pseudomonadota; Betaproteobacteria; Burkholderiales; Burkholderiaceae
Description: 23S ribosomal RNA
Rfam family: Bacterial large subunit ribosomal RNA
Source: RNAcentral
CAGUAAGUCAGACAGACUGAGGGGUCUGUAGCUCAGUCGGUUAGAGCACCGUCUUGAUAAGGCGGGGGUCGAUGGUUCGAAUCCAUCCAGACCCACCAUUGUCUUGUCUGCGAUGGCUGCGCGAGCCGAUGAACCCCGAAGNNNNNNNNNNNNNNNNNNNNNNNNNNNNNNNNNNNNNNNNNNNNNNNNNNNNNNNNNNNNNNNNNNNNNNNNNNNNNNNNNNNNNNNNNNNNNNNNGGGGAAGAACUAGGUGUACGGAAAGUAGGGCGGGACACGUGAAAUCCUGUCUGAAGAUGGGGGGACCAUCCUCCAAGGCUAAAUACUCGUGAUCGACCGAUAGUGAACCAGUACCGUGAGGGAAAGGCGAAAAGAACCCCGGGAGGGGAGUGAAACAGAUCCUGAAACCGCAUGCAUACAAACAGUCGGAGCCUCUGCGAAGGGGUGACGGCGUACCUUUUGUAUAAUGGGUCAGCGACUUACAUUCAGUGGCAAGCUUAACCGAUUAGGGCAGGCGUAGCGAAAGCGAGUCCGAACAGGGCGAUUCAGUCGCUGGGUGUAGACCCGAAACCAGGUGAUCUAUCCAUGGCCAGGAUGAAGGUGCGGUAACACGUACUGGAGGUCCGAACCCACUAACGUUGAAAAGUUAGGGGAUGAGCUGUGGAUAGGGGUGAAAGGCUAAACAAACCUGGAAAUAGCUGGUUCUCUCCGAAAACUAUUUAGGUAGUGCCUCGUGUAUCACCUUCGGGGGUAGAGCACUGUCAUGGUUGUGGGGUCCAUUGCGGAUUACUACGCCAUAGCAAACUCCGAAUACCGAAGAGUGCAAUCACGGGAGACAGACAUCGGGUGCUAACGUCCGGUGUCAAGAGGGAAACAACCCAGACCGCCAGCUAAGGUCCCCAAAUAUUGCUAAGUGGGAAACGAAGUGGGAAGGCUAAAACAGUCAGGAGGUUGGCUUAGAAGCAGCCAUCCUUUAAAGAAAGCGUAAUAGCUCACUGAUCGAGUCGUCCUGCGCGGAAGAUGUAACGGGGCUAAGCAAUAUACCGAAGCUGCGGAUGCACAUUUAUGUGCAUGGUAGGAGAGCGUUCCGUAAGCCUGCGAAGGUGCAUUGAAAAGUGUGCUGGAGGUAUCGGAAGUGCGAAUGCUGACAUGAGUAGCGAUAAAGGGGGUGAAAGGCCCCCUCGCCGUAAGCCCAAGGUUUCCUACGCAACGUUCAUCGGCGUAGGGUGAGUCGGCCCCUAAGGCGAGGCAGAAAUGCGUAGCUGAUGGGAAGCAGGUUAAUAUUCCUGCACCAUUGUUAAAUGCGAUGGGGGGACGGAUCGCGGAAGGUUGUCCGGGUGUUGGAAGUCCCGGUCCUUGCAUUGGAGAAGGCGCUCAGGCAAAUCCGGGCGCGGAAUUCAAGGGUGCGAGGCCAGUCGCUUAGGCGACGAAGCAAUCGGAAGUGGUUCCAAGAAAAGCCUCUAAGCUUCAGUUUAACAGGACCGUACCGCAAACCGACACAGGUGGGCGAGAUGAGUAUUCUAAGGCGCUUGAGAGAACUCGGGAGAAGGAACUCGGCAAAUUGGUACCGUAACUUCGGGAUAAGGUACGCCCCUGUAGCUUGAUGCCCCUGCGGGCAGAGGGUGAAGGGGUUGCAAUAAACUGGUGGCUGCGACUGUUUAAUAAAAACACAGCACUCUGCAAACACGAAAGUGGACGUAUAGGGUGUGACGCCUGCCCGGUGCCGGAAGAUUAAAUGAUGGGGUGCAAGCUCUUGAUUGAAGUCCCGGUAAACGGCGGCCGUAACUAUAACGGUCCUAAGGUAGCGAAAUUCCUUGUCGGGUAAGUUCCGACCUGCACGAAUGGCGUAACGAUGGCCACACUGUCUCCUCCCGAGACUCAGCGAAGUUGAAGUGUUUGUGAUGAUGCAAUCUCCCCGCGGCUAGACGGAAAGACCCCAUGAACCUUUACUGUAGCUUUGCAUUGGACUUUGAACCGAUCUGUGUAGGAUAGGUGGGAGGCUAUGAAGCGUGGACGCCAGUCUGCGUGGAGCCGUCCUUGAAAUACCACCCUGGUUUGUUUGAGGUUCUAACCUUGG